This 5101-nucleotide long non-coding RNA is filed under the name Canis lupus familiaris (dog). RNAcentral's name for it is "lncRNA (ENSCAFG00845030568.1)". The record is from RNAcentral. Lineage: Eukaryota; Metazoa; Chordata; Mammalia; Carnivora; Canidae.
UUUAGGUGGUUUUUUGUUUUUUGUUUUUGGUAGAUUCCUCACUUGGCUGUGACUAUGCAUUUUUAGUAGCUCAUUUUUGGUAACCAAAUUACGUUUUUAAAAUUUCAGUAUUGCUCUAACUGUGCAGAAUGGAUAAAGCUUUCAUGAUAAAUAGAUUUUAUAAGAUAUACUUGCAUCUUCUCAGUCUUUACUAACCAAUACCAUAAAGGAACCCAUAGUACAGACUUGAUAGUUUUAUUUGUAUCCAGAGCAUUACCAUCAAUAUUUAGACUGUAAUAACAAAAUUAUUAAUAUGAUAGCUUAUAUGUAUGUAUAUGAAGCAAAAAAUUAGUCUUAAGAAGCAGAUUCUUUUUCCUCCCCAGUCUCUCCCUCUCCACCUUUGUGUAUAUGUGUGUGUUUCUCUCUCUGUCUCUUUUUCUCUGCCUGUGUACAUUUAAUUCAACCAGUCACAUAGGAAAAAUGGGUAAAUAACAUACAUCUCUUCUCUAAAAGCUCAACCUUUAGUCCUAGAAUAUGGUAGACUGACAGUACUCUACUUUUUUAAAGUAUAAUUAUUUUGUAUUCCACAUAGCAGAUUCCAAAUCAGAAUCCCUUUCUGUUAAAGUAAAUGUUAUAAAUAAAAUAAUAAUGAUGCUGGGAAUUGUUGAGCAAUUAGGUACAGAGAUGGUCAGUUAGGGCAGUGAGCCAGAGGAAUGAUUAAGCCUUUAUUCAUUUACUGCAACAGUGCAAACAAGAGGCAAAAAAAGAGCUACUUGCUCUCCAGGGUCCCAUUUGUCCCCACAGGAUGGCACUGAGUGGGUGUCAGGUGGGUACAGCACAGGUGGGGAGAAUUGCUCACUAUUGAGGAGUUCAGAUAAGACCCCUGACUCUUUAUGGACCUUUGGGUCCAGGGCUAGGAGAGGGGGAAGGCUAGGAGUGAAAAGAUACUGAGUCAAAAUGGUAAAAAGGCCUUAGCCAUGGACCUCCACUAAGGAGGUCUCUGUAUGGAGGUGCCUGGGCUGGGAAUGCAGAUUUCCAUAUAAACCCAGCUGGCCCACAGGCUAGUGGGAGGAGGACUAAGGAAAACUCCUGGUUCUGAUGUGAUCCUCCCCAGGAGACCUGUCAAGGCAAAGCUUUGCAGUUACCUGUGGUUGGACCUGAAAGAUGACAUACGAGAUUGUGGCUUCAAGCUGAGUCCUUCAGGAGCUCAUUGUGUGCCAGACUUUGUGGCAUUCAUUUCCCAGAAAAGCUCAUGAGUCUGGGCUAAUUAUUUACUCCAUUUUAUAGAUUGGUUACCUGAUUUUCUGAAAGAUUAUGUUACUUGCCCAGUAGAUCUGUGCUAUCAGAUCUGUCAGCUAAAGUGUGCCAUGUUACAUAUUCAUAACAUUAGUUUUGGUUACAGCCUUCCAAGUUUCUUGUGUUAAAUACCAAUGUCACGAUUACUGGGUCAGUUAUUUGCUGGAAUGUGGUAAUGGGUGAACUCUUUGUAUACAUGGACAUUUGAUAAAAUUAAAGGUUCAAAUGGUUUUAGUGAGGAAGUAACAAGAGGCCAUGCUUCCAGUGGGCUAAAGAGCAAGGCAAGGUUAAGUCAAGAGAAUUUCUGUUCCCAGAAGCACAGAAUCACCAAUCACUUAAGGUCUUGGAAAUCGUCCCAUUUUAUACUAUGGGUGAAAAGAAUUUGAGUUUGUUUCUUAGUGCACUACAUCUAACUAAUAGUAGAGAUGGGACAAGAAGUCAGAAUUCCCGAUUUUUAGUUCAGUUCACAUUUUACUUUAGAACAAAUGCAAUAGCAGUGGGUCUGCUAUUAUUCCAACUUCAGAUGAGAAGAGGAAACUCACACUUGGAGACCAGAAACUUGAUCAGAAUUUGAACUUGGGCAGACCAACUCCAGCCACUACACAAAAAUACCGUCAUACUGUUCUUAUAAUAUGGGAAUACUGGAGAUUCUGUUUUUCUUAUGCAUAAUUCAGGACACGUGGUCUGAAGAAUAGCACCAUAAUACUUAGGGAAAUAAAUAGGGAGAAAUCUUACUUAUCCAUGCAAUCCUUGUGACUGUUCAUUGCUCCCUUUUCCAGUAUGUAAAAAAGUCAUGCUAUUGUUUUGAGGGAAAAUAAUAUAAAAAUAUAUGUAUUCCUUUUUAAUCAAGAAAUAGUACAUCAAUUGAUCUUUGAACUUAUGUUGUCAGUCUGAUGAAUUUUUACUACCGUAUUUUUCAGAGGCAUUUAUCAUUUUAAGUUUUAAAGCUAAAUAAGGACAGCUAAUAGCUAAUUAGCUAAAUAAGCUAAUAUUUGAACAUCAUGUGCAAAUGAUGUGCAAAGAAUUUUGGGGUUCAGAUUUGGGGCUAUGAUUCAUUUUAUAUUGUGAUUUUCUGACACCAUAUAUAUUAUCUUUAUUUUUUUAAAGAUUCAUGAAUUGAGAGAGAGAGAGCAAGUACAGGGAGGGGCAGACAGAAAGGAAAAGAGAAUCUCCAGCAGAUUCCUCACUGAGCUUGGAGCCCUACUCAGGGCUCAGUCUGUCUCAUAACCCUGAGAUCAUGACCUGAGCAGAAACCAAGAGUCAGACACUCAACCAACUGUGCCAUCCUGGCACCCCUGCAUUACCUUUAAAUAAAACACUUUUAAUCAUGGAAAUUUGUAUUACAAUUAAGUAUAUUCAAAUGCUUUUGUAAUACUUUUUUUUAAUAUUUAUUUAUUCAUGAGACACAUACACACACACACAGAAAAAGAGAGAGAGAGAGAGAGAGAGAGAGAGAGGCAGAGGGAGAAACAGGCUCCAUGCAGGGAGCCCGAUGUGGGACUCGAUCCUGGGUCUCCAGGAUCACGCCUGGGGCCGAAGGCAGUCACUAGACCACUGAGCCACCCAGGGAUCCCCAGCUUUUGCAAUACUUUUAAUUUAGUUAAAUGAAAGAACCACAAAUCAAAAUAAAACAAAUUUCCCUGUCUUUUCUUUCUGGAUCAACAUGGAUGAUCCCUUGCUGUAAGGUGUCGAGAGAGAACAGAGUGUGGAGGUGAGGGACCUAGAAACUUUACCCCUUAUCUCCCAGUUGGAAAUCAGUUCAAACCCUUGCCACUCCUCUCAUCGAUUUUACUGUAUCCAUUUUCUUAGCUGGUUAUGAAUAUUAAGUGUAAGAGCUACUAAGGUAUUAUAGGAUUUGAGAUCUCAGAAUUUUACUUACCUCAUGUCUUCUCCUACUGGGCUAUAACAGAGCCAGUCACCCGUGGGGCAGGUAACCUGUGUCAACAGCCUACUCCUGCCUCCACUUGGCUUCUUUUCCUACUACUGUUAUCCCUUUGGGCCUUCCUGCUGGUCCUCAGUUUAACUGUUCUGGGUCCCUUUCUCUUAGGACCUGGUUAAAUGCUGCCUUAAUAUUUGAGCAUCAUUUGACAUUGUUUCUUAACAUUAAGACUUUGACAUUUUUUGAACAGUGCUAUAGGUCAUAUGCUGUUACGUAGACAUCAUAACACCGACUUUUCUUUGGCCCACUCACCAACCUCAUGGCUUUUCUCAAGGUCCUUGGUGACCAAUUGCCUAACCACUUCUUUAAUUGUAUCUCUCUACCUCACCACAUAUUCCCUGUUCCCUCUACCUACUGUUUCUUUCCAUAGCUCUAGCACCUCCUAAUUUACUGCACAGUGUUCUUGGCUAUUUAUUUUUCAUCUACUCCCUACUGAAUCAAAAGUUCCUUGAGGGCAUGUUUUUGUUUGUUUAGCUUUGUUUCUUAUCCAAUGCUAAGAAUUCCAGAGUUUGGAAUAGGGACUGAUACCAAGUAGCUGUUUGAUAUUUUGUUGAAGUAACAAUGAAUUAUGGGGGCACAUGACUUUCAUUAUAUUCCAAAAAGAAUUUUGUUCAGUCAAGUGGUAGUCAGGAAUAAUUCUGAUUUGGUCUGAGAUUUAUUUGUUUGUCUUAGAUCAAAGUACUAGGAUCCCAAGUGAUUUUGAAUAACUCCAUUGCUGCUUCUUGCUUCUUCUUGUUUUGCCAGGACCAGUAAGUAAUUUGCAGAUGACUUCUCCAGCUGCAAACUGAGAUAUGAAAGCCAUCAGGAUCUAUUGUGUGUGUGUGUGUGUGUGUGUGUGUAUGCUAUCUGAUAUAUGUAUAUGCUGGGUGGUGUUUAAAGAACUGUAAACUUCCCUUCUAUGCAAAAUAUGAUAAUGAGAAACAAAAGGGCCAGAAGUAGAGAUAGGAAAACCAAAAAUCACGUCUUAAAUAAAAAUCUACACAUACAUACAUAUAAAUAUAACAUAUCAUAUCACGUAUAUAUCACAAGAGUUGAUUCUAUGUAUUAUACACUGAAAAUAGAGUAGUUUUCAGAGAAGAUAUUUACUAGUACUAUUUUGAUGACAGAUUGAACUAUAAGAGAAAAGGUCUUUGAUAUUAUCCAUGAUAGAAAAAAAAUAGUAUGAAGGAAAAAUAAUCAUCUAAAUUAAACUAAUUUGGAACCAAAAAGACUGAACUCUAUAUCUACAUAUUACUAAAAGUUAUGAACAACCCUCUUCAGAAUCUGCCAGCGACCAAUGAAGAUGUUUUCAAGUGUUUCUCUAAUCAGAUGAACAGGGGUAGCCAUUCAUCAGUACUUCACCAUUAUGUCAUCAUAAUUAUCUUAAAGCACAGAAGGGAAAUGCAUAAGGGUUUCUUUAGGCUAAAGGUUAAUUUUAAUUAAGUAUUGGGGCAGAAGUCAGACUUUCUGACUACAGAGUAAUUUUUGUACUGCUCUGAGAAUCUGUGAGUAUUCAAAAAGGUUCAUAACAGCAUUAGUGUUAAAUGAAUAGUCUGUUUAACUUGGAUAUAAUAGGUCAAAAAAAAAAAAAAGCCCAAAACAAAAACGUAACUCUAGUCUUGAAUUUUGAAAGGCCUUUUGCCAGAAAAGGAGAAUGUGCAGUGGGUUAGAGUGUUAAUUAAGGGGAAAAUCCCAGGAGAAUUUUAUCAUCUUCCUAAAUAAAAACUACUUUUGUUGAGAUCUGUACGCUCAAAGCACUAUGAUGCUCUGAUUUUUAUGAAUCAGACAACAGUAAUAUCAUUGACAAGUAUAAGCAUGAGUUUUCUUAAAGAGAAAACAAAGUUGUUUGAGCUCCUUUUGAGUAGCUUCAGGGACUGCUGUCCCUUAACACUUCAUUGAACUAUGUCU